Molecule: small RNA, 27 nt
Filed under: Arabidopsis thaliana (thale cress)
Lineage: Eukaryota; Viridiplantae; Streptophyta; Magnoliopsida; Brassicales; Brassicaceae
Description: ATSL294190
Source: RNAcentral
CUUCUUCUUCUUCUUCGCUCUUCUUCU